UUGCAUUAGAGUUUGAUCCUGGCUCAGAAUCAACGCUGGCGGCGUGCCUCAGACAUGCAAGUCGAACGCGAAAGUUCCCUUCGGGGGACAAGUAGAGUGGCGCACGGGUGAGUAACACGUAGGUAAUCUACCUUCGGGUGGGGAAUAACAACCGGAAACGGUUGCUAAUACCGCAUAAUGCAGCGGCACCUAAUGGUGACAGUUGUUAAAGCGGGGGAUCGUAAGACCUCGCGCCUGAAGAGGAGCCUGCGGCGGAUUAGCUAGUUGGCAGGGUAACGGCCUACCAAGGCGACGAUCCGUAGCCGGCCUGAGAGGGCGGUCGGCCACACUGACACUGACAUACGGGUCAGACUCCUACGGGAGGCAGCAGUCGGGAAUUUUGGGCAAUGGGCGAAAGCCUGACCCAGCAACGCCGCGUGAAGGAUGAAAU
This 430-nucleotide ribosomal RNA is filed under the name uncultured Acidobacteriota bacterium. RNAcentral describes it as "bacterial SSU rRNA". It matches the Rfam family "Bacterial small subunit ribosomal RNA", at positions 1 to 414 of the family's 1533-position model. Lineage: Bacteria; Pseudomonadati; Acidobacteriota. The record is from RNAcentral.